This 435-nucleotide ribosomal RNA is filed under the name uncultured bacterium. RNAcentral's name for it is "bacterial SSU rRNA". It matches the Rfam family "Bacterial small subunit ribosomal RNA", at positions 29 to 507 of the family's 1533-position model. The record is from RNAcentral. RNAcentral also lists the same sequence under 1 other name.
AACGAACGCUGGCGGCAUGCCUAACACAUGCAAGUCGAACGAUUGCCUUCGGGUGAUAGUGGCGCACGGGUGCGUAACGCGUGGGAAUCUGCCCUUAGGUUCGGAAUAACAGCUGGAAACGGCUGCUAAUACCGGAUGAUAUCGCGAGAUCAAAGAUUUAUCGCCUGAGGAUGAGCCCGCGUUGGAUUAGGUAGUUGGUGGGGUAAAGGCCUACCAAGCCGACGAUCCAUAGCUGGUCUGAGAGGAUGAUCAGCCACACUGGGACUGAGACACGGCCCAGACUCCUACGGGAGGCAGCAGUGGGGAAUAUUGGACAAUGGGCGCAAGCCUGAUCCAGCAAUGCCGCGUGAGUGAUGAAGGCCCUAGGGUUGUAAAGCUCUUUUACCCGGGAAGAUAAUGACUGUACCGGGAGAAUAAGCCCCGGCUAACUCCGUG